Molecule: long non-coding RNA, 304 nt
Filed under: Elaeis guineensis (African oil palm)
Lineage: Eukaryota; Viridiplantae; Streptophyta; Magnoliopsida; Arecales; Arecaceae
Description: long non-coding RNA (EGUI_LNC009416)
Source: RNAcentral
CCGGCCCAAUGCUUUUAGCCACUCUUUAUGCCCUAGUUCUCAAAUUUGACUCUUCGCCCCUCACCCAUGCCUUCCUUCUCUAGCCCCCUCAUGUUAGAUUCUCAAUUAUGUCCAUUUUUCCAUUCUAAUAUAUGCCUUGCCUCCCCUUCUCUCUUUUCAUGUGCAUGAGAGCACUGAUCUACCUUUCAUGGCCUCCCUAACUAAGCUUGCUUACAUGAUUGCAGUUAGCAACCUCCCUUAUAUGUGCAGAUUCUGUGAUAAUAAUGAUUCUCGUCUGUUGGAAAAUAUGUCCCAAAGUCAAUCG